GGGAAUGUGGCUUAGUGGUAAAGUGUUUGCCUAGCAUUCAUGAGGCCCUGGGUUCAAUUCCUUGUUGCCA
RNAcentral lists this transfer RNA (70 nucleotides) under Dipodomys ordii (Ord's kangaroo rat). It matches the Rfam family "tRNA". From Rfam's summary of the family: Transfer RNA (tRNA) molecules are approximately 80 nucleotides in length. Their secondary structure includes four short double-helical elements and three loops (D, anti-codon, and T loops). Lineage: Eukaryota; Metazoa; Chordata; Mammalia; Rodentia; Heteromyidae. The record is from Rfam by way of RNAcentral.